CCUACGGGAUGCAGCAGUGGGGAAUAUUGGGCAAUGGGCGCAAGCCUGCCCGAGCAACGCCGCGUGAAGGAAGAAGGCUUUCGGGUUGUAAAGUUCUUUUGUCAGGGAAGAGUAGAAGACGGUACCUGACGAAUAAGCCACGGCCAACUACGUGCCAGCAGCCCCGGUAAUAAGUAGGUUGCAAGCGUUGUCCGGAUUUACUUGGUGUAAAGGGCGUGUAGCAGGGUUUACAAGUCAGUUGUUAAAUCCUGCGGCUUAACCGCAGAACUGCAUUUGAAACUGUUGAUCUUGAGUACUGGAGAGGCAGACGGAAUUCCUAGUGUAGCGGUGAAAUGCGUAGAUAUUAGGAGGAACACCAGUGGCGAAGGCGGUCUGCUGGACAGAAACUGACGGUGAGGCGCGAAAGCGUGGGGAGCAAACAGGAUUAGAUACCCGGGUAGUC
RNAcentral lists this ribosomal RNA (442 nucleotides) under uncultured bacterium. RNAcentral describes it as "partial 16S ribosomal RNA". It matches the Rfam family "Bacterial small subunit ribosomal RNA", at positions 338 to 795 of the family's 1533-position model. The record is from RNAcentral.